Molecule: ribosomal RNA, 204 nt
Filed under: uncultured bacterium
Lineage: Bacteria
Description: partial 16S ribosomal RNA
Rfam family: Bacterial small subunit ribosomal RNA
Source: RNAcentral
GACGUAGGGCGCGAGCGUUGUCCGGAUUUAUUGGGCGUAAAGAGCUCGUAGGCGGCUUGUCGCGUCGACUGUGAAAACCCGCGGCUCAACCGCGGGCCUGCAGCCGAUACGGGCAGGCUAGAGUUCGGUAGGGGAGACUGGAAUUCCUGGUGUAGCGGUGAAAUGCGCAGAGUAUCAAGGAGGAACACCGAUGGCGAAGGCAGG